UCCCCCGUGAGGGGGCAGUCUCGCCUGACAUUGAAAACAGGCAACGAGGGUUGCGUUCGUUACCCCACUGAAGGGAACAACUCAAGCCACGAACUGACGACGACCAUGCAUCACCUGUCCAGCCGUCUUGCGAAGGUCCUCGUUUCUGAGGAUUUUCGUCUGGAUUUCUAGCCCUGGUGAGGUUCUUCGUUUGCUAUCGAAUUGAGCCGCAUCAUCCACCGCUUGUGCAAGUCCCCGUCUAUUCCUUUGAGUUUUAAUCUUGCGAUCGUACUACCCAGGCGCCGAACUUAACGCGUUAGCUACGCCUCACAGAGGGUCGAUACUCCGUAAAGCUAGUUCGGAUCGUUUAGGGCGUGGACUA
RNAcentral lists this unclassified non-coding RNA (361 nucleotides) under uncultured bacterium. RNAcentral's name for it is "contains 16S-23S intergenic spacer region". The record is from RNAcentral.